Molecule: ribosomal RNA, 447 nt
Filed under: uncultured bacterium
Lineage: Bacteria
Description: bacterial SSU rRNA
Rfam family: Bacterial small subunit ribosomal RNA
Source: RNAcentral
CCAGACUCCUACGGGAGGCAGCAGUGGGGGAUAUUGCACAAUGGGGGAAACCCUGAUGCAGCGACGCCGCGUGAGUGAAGAAGUAUUUCGGUAUGUAAAGCUCUAUCAGCAGGGAAGAAGAUGACAGUACCUGAGUAAGAAGCCCCGGCUAACUACGUGCCAGCAGCCGCGGUAAUACGUAGGGGGCAAGCGUUAUCCGGAUUUACUGGGUGUAAAGGGAGCGUAGACGGUUAUGCAAGUCUGGAGUGAAAGCCCGGGGCUCAACCCCGGGACUGCAUUGGAAACUGUCAGGCUAGAGUGUCGGAGAGGCAAGUGGAAUUCCUAGUGUAGCGGUGAAAUGCGUAGAUAUUAGGAGGAACACCAGUGGCGAAGGCGGCUUGCUGGACGAUGACUGACGUUGAGGCUCGAAAGCGUGGGGAGCAAACAGGAUUAGAUACCCCAGUAGUA